AUAAGUUAAAUUUAAAAAACACAAAAAAAUAACUUUGUUUACUUAUUUCAGUUGAUAUUGACUUUAAGAAUCCAGCUGGAUUCUUAGGAACUGAAGCUAGUGUUCUGGAAGCACAAUUUAUUACACGGUCAUUUGGUGCUUUAUGUCCAGACGAUAUCGGCUCAGUUAUCGAGUGUUCCGGAUUUAUCAAAGGCAUGAUGAUAAUUAUCAAGACUAGUUGAUCGCCCUUGCGGUUUUGGAUUUUUGGAUAUGAGUAAAUACUAUAAGUUCCUAACGUGUGGCGUUGAUGAUGCUAGGGAGAUUGUAGAGCAUGAUGCAUUUAUGACAUUAGACGUCUCAACCUUUCCUCCCCCUCCUACUCCAUCAGUUAUUACGGUACCUAUAGAAGAAGAUAGAGAAAUUACAGAGGAAGAAGAAAUCACUACAAAUAAUGAAGAUUAUCUCAAUAAAUUAAAAGAAGAACAAACAAAGAAUGCUGAACAAAAAACUAGUUCGUUGUUUGACGACUAUAUUCAUGUUACAGAAGAUGUAUCUGUAGAUGAGACUACUACUGAUGUAAGUGUAUUAUCAGAUUCGAGUGAAAUGGACCUUGGAACUCAAUGGAAAGAUAUUGGCUUCCAGCAUAAAAAAGGAUUUGGAAAAAAAAACAAGAUUUGAAGGAAAACAAGAUUGAUUCGAUAACUGUAAUAAAA
Ostrinia nubilalis (European corn borer) is the source of this 692-nucleotide long non-coding RNA. RefSeq lists it as uncharacterized. The record is from RefSeq and is a predicted model, not a curated record. NCBI's taxonomy places the organism in Eukaryota, Metazoa, Arthropoda, Insecta, Lepidoptera, Crambidae. The transcript is spliced from 3 exons.